CUCUGUGACUCCUACGGGAGGCAGCAGUGGGGAAUAUUGCACAAUGGGCGCAAGCCUGAUGCAGCAACGCCGUGUGAGUGAAGAAGGUUUUCGGAUCGUAAAACUCUGUCCCUAAGGGAAGAAACAAAUGACGGUACCUUAGGAGGAAGCCCCGGCUAACUACGUGCCAGCAGCCGCGGUAAUACGUAGGGGGCAAGCGUUAUCCGGAAUCACUGGGCGUAAAGGGUGCGUAGGCGGCUUAGCAAGCCAGGGGUGAAAGGCAUUGGCUCAACCAAUGUAAGCCUUUGGAACUGUUAAGCUUGAGUGCAGGAGAGGUAAGUGGAAUUCCUAGUGUAGAGGUGAAAUUCGUAGAUAUUAGGAGGAACACCAGUGGCGAAGGCGACUUACUGGACUGUAACUGACGCUGAUGCACGAAAGCGUGGGUAGCGAACAGGAUUAGAUACCCUGGUAG
Molecule: ribosomal RNA, 451 nt
Filed under: uncultured bacterium
Lineage: Bacteria
Description: bacterial SSU rRNA
Rfam family: Bacterial small subunit ribosomal RNA
Source: RNAcentral